RNAcentral lists this long non-coding RNA (623 nucleotides) under Homo sapiens (human). RNAcentral's name for it is "HSALNT0153828". Lineage: Eukaryota; Metazoa; Chordata; Mammalia; Primates; Hominidae. The record is from RNAcentral.
GUUCUAGGUCCCAAUUCUACUGCAAAUAGUAUCAUGGCAUCUUAUCAGCAACAGAAGACUUCGGUUCCUGUUCUUGAUGCUGAGCUUUUUAUACCACCAAAGAUCAACAGAAGAACCCAGUGGAAGCUGAGCCUGCUAGACUGAGUGACUGCAGUUAGGAGGGAUCCGACAGAGAAGACCAUUUCCACUCAUUCCUGUUGUCCUACCACCCCUUGCUCUUUGAGGGCUGGCUAUUGAGAACUGGAAAGAGUAAAAUGAUAACUUACCUUAGCAUUGCCAAGAACUUCAGCAGACAACAAGCAAUUCUAUUUAUUUUAUGUUGUGUAUACAUCUUGAUCAUUAGCAAGACAUUAAGCUUUAACCAUUAUGGCACCAUUUUGUGAGAAUGAUUGUUCUUUCACUUGGGCUGUUUGAGAGCAUAAUUAUGGUAAUCAUGAGAUUAAUGUUUCAUGAUUUCUACCUCCAAAGUGUGAAGACAAGUAAAACAAUGUUUCUAAAUUGUCUUAUUUUGUUGGCGGAGAAGAUUACAAUGGCUAUUAGUGCUACAUUUGGUCAAAUGUAAUCACUUAAAUAGCUUCUUGUCACCUUAAACUAAAGCAGAAUAAAAAGUAUCCUUUGAAAUU